CNACUUACCUAUCAGAGGGGGAUAGCCCGGCGAAAGUCGGAUUAAUACCCCAUAAAACAGGGGUCCCGCAUGGAAUAUUUGUUAAAGAUUCNUCGCUGAUAGAUAGGCAUGCGUUCCAUUAGGCAGUUGGCGGGGUAACGGCCCACCAAACCGACGAUGGAUAGGGGUUCUGAGAGGAAGGUCCCCCNNAUUGGUACUGAGACACGGACCAAACUCCUACGGGAGGCAGCAGUGAGGAAUAUUGGUCAAUGGCCGAGAGGCUGAACCAGCCAAGUCGCGUGAAGGAAGAAGGAUCUAUGGUUUGUAAACUUCUUUUAUAGGGGAAUAAAGUGGAGGACGUGUCCUUUUUUGUAUGUACCCUAUGAAUAAGCAUCGGCUAACUCCGUGCCAGCAGCCGCGGUAAUACGGAGGAUGCGAGCGUUAUCCGGAUUUAUUGGGUUUAAAGGGUGCGUAGGUGGUGAUUUAAGUCAGCGGUGAAAGCUUGUGGCUCNACCAUAAAAUUGCCGUUGAAACUGGGUUACUUGAGUGUGUUUGAGGUAGGCGGAAUGCGUGGUGUAGCGGUGAAAUGCAUAGAUGUCNCGAAGAACUCCNAUUG
Molecule: ribosomal RNA, 595 nt
Filed under: uncultured Bacteroidota bacterium
Lineage: Bacteria; Pseudomonadati; Bacteroidota
Description: bacterial SSU rRNA
Rfam family: Bacterial small subunit ribosomal RNA
Source: RNAcentral